Gopherus flavomarginatus (Mexican gopher tortoise) is the source of this 1115-nucleotide long non-coding RNA. RefSeq lists it as uncharacterized. The record is from RefSeq and is a predicted model, not a curated record. Lineage: Eukaryota; Metazoa; Chordata; Testudines; Testudinidae. The transcript is spliced from 3 exons.
GGGGGUGUACCGUUGCUGGGUGUGUAUGUUGUGGUGUCUUGGUGUUGUGGGAGUGUAUGGGCACGUUUUGGUGUGUGUCCAUUGUGUCUGUGUGUCCGAGGGGCUGUUGGCCUGUAGCUGUUGGGUUGUGUGUUUGAGGGGAUGUAGGCGUGUCAGUGUGUAGGUGCUGGGGGUGCACUGGGGGUCAGUGACAGCGUGCUGUGGGUGCAGGUGUCUGUCUGAUGGGGUGCAGCUGCUGUGUCUGAGCAGGUGUUGGAGUGUUGCUGUUGGGAUUGUAUCAGGAUAUGUGAAGAUUUGUUGCAGGGUAGGUGUUGGCACUGGGUUGUGGUGUGUGUGGCAGGGUGUUGUUGUCAGGGUGACGGGGUUGUGUCAGUCUGUGUAGGUGUUGAGGUGAUGGGGUAUAAAUGUGUGCAUGCCAGGAGGCAUAGGUGUCAGGUCAGAAUGUGAUCGGGUGUAGCUGUCAGCGUGGAGAUGCUGUCAAAAUGUCCAUGAUGUGGUGUCAGUGUUAGUGUGUGCAGCUGAUGGGACAUUGGGUCAGGGCAUGACGGGGUGUAUGGGGGUGUUGGUACAUAAAUGUCAAUGUGUGUAGAUGGGAUGAGGUGUAGUUGUUGGUCGGUAGAUGUCACUGUCGGGGUGUGUGACAUGGUGUAGGUGAUGUGUGUGGUGAGGGGUAAGGGACGGGGUGUAUGUCAACGUGUGUAGAUGGGGUGAGGUGUAGCUGCUGGUCAGUAGGUGUGUGACAUGGUGCAGGUGAUGUGUGUGGUGAGGGGUAAGGGACGGGGUGUAUGUCAACGUAUGUGGAUGGGGUGAGGUGUAGCUGCUGGUCGGUAGGUGUGUGACAUGGUGCAGGUGAUGUGUGUGGUGAGGGGUAAGGGACGGGGUGUAUGUCAACGUGUGUAGAUGGGAUGAGGUGUAGCUGUUGGUCAGUAGGUGUGUGACAUGGUGCAGGUGAUGUGUGUGGUGAGGGGUAAGGGACGGGGUGUAUGUCAACGUGUGUAGAUGGAGUGAGGUGUAGCUGCUGGUCAGUAGGUGUGUGACAUGGUGCAGGUGAUGUGUGUUGUGAGGGGUAAGGGACGGGGUGUAUGUCAACGUAUGUAGAUGGGGUGAGGUGUAGC